This 480-nucleotide ribosomal RNA is filed under the name uncultured bacterium. Its description in RNAcentral is "partial 16S ribosomal RNA". It matches the Rfam family "Bacterial small subunit ribosomal RNA", at positions 28 to 507 of the family's 1533-position model. The record is from RNAcentral.
GACGAACGCUGGCGGCGUGCUUAACACAUGCAAGUCGAACGAUAAAGCAAAGAAUCGCUGCUUCGGCAGAAAUUCAUUUCGGAUUAGUGGCAGACGGGUGAGUAACGCGUGAGCACCCUACCUCUUACAAAGGGAUAGCCUCGGGAAACCGGGAUUAAUCCCAUAUAACAUUGCGACGAAGCAUUUCGAUGCAAUCAAAGCUACGGCGGUAAGAGAUGGGCUCGAGUUGCAUUAACCGGAUGGUGAGGUAACGGCUCACCAUAGCGACGAUGGGUAACCGGGCUGAGAGGGUGAACGGUCACACUGGAGCUGAGACACGGUCCGGACUCCUACGGGAGGCAGCAGUGGGGAAUAUUGCACAAUGGAGUGAGUGCUGAUGCAGCGACGCCGCGUGAGUGAUGAAGUAAUUAGUGACGAAAAACUCUGUUAUAUGGGAAGAAAAGGACUGUACCAAAGGAGAAAGCACCGGCUAACUACGUG